CGAAUGACAGAUGACGAAAGCACGAAAGGAGCAAUCCCACUGUGACGCUUUGCUGUCAUUUGGCUGCGCUCUGGCCAUUACAGCGGCUAUCAUUUUCUGGAGUUGGACCUGUGCACCACUUCCAAGCGAAUAUAAAGGACGGGGAAGAUGCUUCGGGGUGGCACCUGGGGUGGCCAGUCUGGUUGGGGGGGGUGGCCUGGACACGCCACUGAGCCAAGCAUAAUUAUUCACCUCUCGUGUGUGGAAGGAAGUCUGUGGAGUGCUCAGUCUUUUAUCCCCAGUUUCAUCCCUAGACUAAUGGAAAAACUGAGCAUCCUAACCACCUGCACUGAGGCCGCUCUUUGCUGUGUUGCAUCAUCCAAGCAGUCAACAUGGAGAUCUCACCUGCCCUGGGUUGAAUAUACACACAACCACAUGACAUCAUCUACAACUCUGCUGUCCCUGUUUGCAUCCCCAGUCUGCUACCAACCUCUACUUUCUCCAGAUGCUCUUUGUUUCCUCUGUACAGGAUAUCCAUCAUUUCCAUGUCCCCCAGCUGAAGCAUCAAAUGGCGUGAGAGAUGCUUGGUGGACUGUGAAGGGUAUGGCCUGGUUGCUCCAACCUGGACAAACAUUACAACUUUGUAUAAUCUGAAGACUCCAUACAUUUUGAUGUCAUUACUUCAGCUUCAUUUCUGAGAAAUCUGGUGUUGUCUGAUGAUCAAAACUAAAACCCUUGAAACUGGUCUUGUGCAUAAACAGCUGCAGAAAUAAAAAAAAAAAACACGGAUUAUGAUUGUGUUUUAAGAUAUAACAAUAAAGCUUAGCUUCCACCCACUCGUAGUGGCCAUGGAUGAGAAAGACACAAACCAUGUAAACACAAUUUUCUUACCCUCUAAAAAAUGCCUUCUUUGUAAAAAGUGCAGUGGAAAGGGGAGAGAGUCAUUAGUCCCCUCAUAA
This is a long non-coding RNA of Oreochromis niloticus (Nile tilapia), 938 nucleotides long. RefSeq lists it as uncharacterized. The transcript has 4 exons. The record is from RefSeq and is a predicted model, not a curated record. NCBI's taxonomy places the organism in Eukaryota, Metazoa, Chordata, Actinopteri, Cichliformes, Cichlidae.